CCGUGUGCCUACAAGCCGUCAGAGCCUUUUGGGUGAUGGCGUGCCUUUUGAAGAAUGAGCCUGCGAGUCAGCGGCAUGUCGCGAGGUUAACCCGUGUGGGGUAGCCGUAGGGAAACCGAAUCCUAAUGGGGUGUAAAGUGGCAUGUCCUGGACCCGAAGCGGGGUGAUCUACCCAUGGCCAGUGUGAAGCAGCUGUAAGAGGUUGUGGAGGCGCGAACCCACGUAGGUUGAAAACUGCGGGGAUGAGCUGUGGGUAGGGGUGAAAGGCCAAUCAAACUCCGUGAUAGCUGGUUCUCCCCGAAAUGCAUUUAGGUGCAGCGUCGUGUGUUUCAUCUUGGAGGUAGAGCUACUGGAUGGUCAAGGGGGCUUAUCCGCUUACCAACACCAGCCAAACUCCGAAUGCCAGGAUGUGAGAGCACGGCAGUGAGACUGUGGGGGAUAAGCUUCAUAGUCGAGAGGGAAACAGCCCAGAUCGCCGGCUAAGGCCCCUAAGCGUGUACUAAGUGGAAAAGGAUGUGGGAUCGCUUAGACAACCAGGAGGUUGGCUCAGAAGCAGCCACCCUUGAAAGAGUGCGUAAUAGCUCACUGGUCAAGUGGUCCUGCGCCGACAAUGUAGUGGGGCUCAAGUACACCGCCGAAGCCGCGGCAUUCCUUUUUGGGAUGGGUAGGGGAGCGUCGUGUAUCCGUUGAAGCUGCAGAGUGAUCUAGUGGUGGAGGGUAUGCGAGUGAGAAUGCAGGCAUGAGUAGCGAAUGACAUGUGGGAAACAUGUCCUCCGGAUGACCAAGGGUUCCUGGGCUAGGCUAAUCCUCCCAGGGUGAGUCGGGUCCUAAGGCGAGGCCGACAGGCGUAGUCGAUGGAUAACGGGUUGAUAUUCCCGUACCCGUAUAAGCGCGCCCAUGGUGAAUCAGUGAUACUAACUGUCCAGAAGCUGCUGUUUUCUCUUUUUAAGGAGAUGGUUGUGGAUGCGCAGGACCUGAUCUGGUAGUAGCCAAGCGAUGGGGUGACGCAGGAAGGUAGCUGUGCCAGGUAGUGGAUUGCCUGGUGUAAGCGUGUAGGGUGACAGGUUGGUAAAUCCGCUUGUUGUGUACCUGAGACGUGAUGCGUAGCCAUUGUGGUGAAGUUAGUGAUCCUAUGCUGCCGAGAAAAGCCUCUAGUGAGUUCUUAUGCGGCCCGUACCCUAAACCGACACAGGUGGUCAGGUAGAGAAUACUAAGGAGUUCGAGAGAACUGUGGUUAAGGAAUUCGGCAAAAUGCCCCCGUAACUUUGGAAGAAGGGGGACCGAUGUUGGUGAGCACUUUUUCGGUGUGAGCUGGUGUUGGUCGCAGAGACCAGAGAGAAGCGACUGUUUACCAAAAACACAGGUCCGUGCGAAGACGUAAGUCGAUGUAUACGGACUGACGCCUGCCCGGUGCUGGAAGGUUAAGAGGACUGGUUAGUGGCCCUUGUGGCUGCGAAGCUGAGAAUUUAAGCCCCAGUAAACGGCGGUGGUAACUAUAACCAUCCUAAGGUAGCGAAAUUCCUUGUCGGGUAAGUUCCGACCUGCACGAAUGGCGUAACGACUUCUCUACUGUCUCAACCACAGACUCGGCGAAAUUGCAUUACGAGUAAAGAUGCUCGUUACGCGCGGCAGGACGAAAAGACCCCGGGACCUUUACUAUAGCUUGGCAUUGGUGUUCGGUUUUGUUUGUGUAGGAUAGGUGGGAGACUGUGAAGCUCAUGCGCUAGUGUGGGUGGAGUCGUUGUUGAAAUACCACUCUGAUGAAAUUGGACUUCUAACCUCGGACCAUGAUCUGGUUUAGGGACAGUGCCUGGUGGGUAGUUUAACUGGGGCGGUUGCCUCCCAAAGAGUAACGGAGGCGCCCAAAGGUUCCCUCAGCCUGGUUGGCAAUCAGGUGUUGAGUGUAAGUGCACAAGGGAGCUUGACUGUGAGACUGACAAGUCGAACAGGGACGAAAGUCGGGACUAGUGAUCCGGCACCGGCUUGUGGAAGCGGUGUCGCUCAACGGAUAAAAGGUACCCCGGGGAUAACAGGCUGAUCUUCCCCAAGAGUCCAUAUCGACGGGAUGGUUUGGCACCUCGAUGUCGGCUCGUCGCAUCCUGGGGCUGGAGUCGGUCCC
Molecule: ribosomal RNA, 2119 nt
Filed under: human metagenome
Description: bacterial LSU rRNA
Rfam family: Bacterial large subunit ribosomal RNA
Source: RNAcentral